RNAcentral lists this long non-coding RNA (1098 nucleotides) under Numida meleagris (helmeted guineafowl). RNAcentral's name for it is "lncRNA (ENSNMEG00000003402.1)". The record is from RNAcentral. Lineage: Eukaryota; Metazoa; Chordata; Aves; Galliformes; Numididae.
AUGUGUCUGUUCACUGGUUUGCGUCUCUCAAGUGUUUGGGAGAGGAAUGAAAAUAUCAAGAAACAAGCAAACAAACAAAAACAGAGCAUAGUUUGGAACUGUAGGCUGAACUCUUCCUCCUUCUCAAUGAUCCGUAUGGGUCCCUUCCAAAUCGGGACGGUCUAUGAUUCUGUGAUCUUCCAGCACGCCUCACUGGUGCUUGCAGGACCCUCUGAACACAGAGAGACGUUAAGGCCUUUGUUUGUUUGUUGUCUUAAUAGAAACACCAAAGGAGCAGGAGGUGCGCUGCUGUGCAGCUCCUGGCAGGGGAACAGAGAGGACACACCUACAGAAACCAGAAUGCAGGAGCAGCUCGCGCUGCGAUGCUCGGCACAGAGCAGCUGCCGUUCGGUUGGCGUGGAGGAACCCACCCGAAGGACGCGUUCAUCCAGGGCAGCGCAGGGAUCAUCUCCAUCUCCAGCGCUGCGCUUUGCUAAGCGCUCUGCCUGGCCCGGCUCGGAGGCGCUUGGCCGAAGUGCUGAGGGCGGUGCUGGAAGAACCAAACUGGAUAUUGGCAAACAAUUCUCCAAAAGAGCGGCGAUGCACCGGCACAGGCUGCUCGGGGAGACGGGGGCAUCCCCGGAGGUGUUCCAGAACGGUGGAGAUGUGGGACACGGUCAGUGCGCACGGUGGGGGUUGGACUUGGUGAUCUCGGAGCUCUUUUCCAACCGCAAUGAUUCCGCGAACCGUCCACCCCCGGGGCUGCGGGGGGCAGCGGCACAGGCCGCGGGCGGAGGGCGGCGCUGGAGGGCGGCGGGCCCGGCCCCGCCCGCGCGGGGGGAAGGGGCGGAGGAGCGGGCGGCGCCGGGGGCGGCUCCAGGCGCGGUGGGGCCUGUUCCGGCCGCUGGGCGCUGCCCGAGCUGGGCGCUCCUGAGGGGCGGGUGGUCGCGGCCUGCAGGUGCGUUCCUCGCCGCCCGGGCAGGAGCGAUUUUGUUUUCGGGUACUGCAUCCCCAGCUCCUCGUUUAGUAAUAAUCCGUGUGGCACCUGGGUUGGUGCUGAUCAAUGGCAGCGUAUUUGCGUGUAGUGUUUUCCUUGUCGUCUUCGCAACUGUUAAAUGA